RNAcentral lists this ribosomal RNA (492 nucleotides) under uncultured bacterium. RNAcentral describes it as "partial 16S ribosomal RNA". It matches the Rfam family "Bacterial small subunit ribosomal RNA", at positions 29 to 507 of the family's 1533-position model. The record is from RNAcentral.
AGUGAACGCUGGCGGUAGGCCUAACACAUGCAAGUCGAACGGCAGCACAGUAAGAGCUUGCUCUUCCGGGUGGCGAGUGGCGGACGGGUGAGGAAUACACCGGAAUCUACUUUUUCGUGGGGGAUAACGUAGGGAAACUUACGCUAAUACCGCAUACGACCUACGGGUGAAAGCAGGGGAUCUUCGGACCUUGCGCGAUUGAAUGAGCCGAUGUCGGAUUAGCUAGUUGGCGGGGUAAAGGCCCACCAAGGCGACGAUCCGUAGCUGGUCUGAGAGGAUGAUCAGCCACACUGGAACUGAGACACGGUCCAGACUCCUACGGGAGGCAGCAGUGGGGAAUAUUGGACAAUGGGCGCAAGCCUGAUCCAGCCAUACCGCGUGGGUGAAGAAGGCCUUCGGGUUGUAAAGCCCUUUUGUUGGGAAAGAAAAGCAGCAGGUUAAUACCCCGCUGUUCUGACGGUACCCAAAGAAUAAGCACCGGCUAACUUCGUG